AAUUGAAAAAGGUAAACCAUUCGUAAGGAUGGGGCGCAAAGCUUCCGGCCCAGACGGUACGUCGGGGUAGCGGGGUUGCCAAG
This 83-nucleotide non-coding RNA is filed under the name Candidatus Omnitrophota bacterium. RNAcentral describes it as "Omnitrophica WOR c-di-GMP sequence". It matches the Rfam family "c-di-GMP-I riboswitch aptamer". From Rfam's summary of the family: GEMM was predicted in a large-scale screen for bacterial structured RNA regulatory elements. Genes associated with GEMM are involved in a diverse array of functions, including chemotaxis regulation, signal transduction, secretion and chitin. Lineage: Bacteria; Pseudomonadati; Candidatus Omnitrophota. The record is from RNAcentral.